CAGUAGUCACGUAGUUUGAUCCUGGCUCAGAACGAACGCUGGCGGCAUGCCUAACACAUGCAAGUCGAACGAGACCUUCGGGUCUAGUGGCGCACGGGUGCGUAACACGGUGGGAAUUUGCCUCGGGGGUAUGGAAUAACUCAGGGAAACUUGAGCUAAUACCAUAUAAUGUCUUCGGACCAAAGAUUUAUCGCCCUGAGAUAAGCCCGCGUAGGAUUAGCUAGUUGGUGGGGUAAAGGCUCACCAAGCCGACGAUCUGUAGCUGGUCUGAGAGGACGACCAGCCACACUGGGACUGAGACACGGCCCAGACUCCUACGGGAGGCAGCAGUGGGGAAUUUUGGACAAUGGGCGCAAGCCUGAUCCAGCAAUGCCGCGUGCAGGAUGAAGGCCUUCGGGUUGUAAACUGCUUUUGUACGGAACGAAACGGUGAGCUCUAAUACAGUUUGCUAAUGACGGUACCGUAAGAAUAAGCACCGGCUAACUACGUG
RNAcentral lists this ribosomal RNA (490 nucleotides) under uncultured bacterium. RNAcentral describes it as "bacterial SSU rRNA". It matches the Rfam family "Bacterial small subunit ribosomal RNA", at positions 1 to 507 of the family's 1533-position model. The record is from RNAcentral.